Molecule: transfer RNA, 68 nt
Filed under: Cheumatopsyche brevilineata
Lineage: Eukaryota; Metazoa; Arthropoda; Insecta; Trichoptera; Hydropsychidae
Description: tRNA-Trp
Source: RNAcentral
AAGAUUUUAAGUUAAAUUAAACUUUUAAUUUUCAAAAUUAAUAAUAUAGAUAUUUUCUUUAAGUCUUA